This 503-nucleotide ribosomal RNA is filed under the name uncultured bacterium. RNAcentral's name for it is "partial 16S ribosomal RNA". It matches the Rfam family "Bacterial small subunit ribosomal RNA", at positions 30 to 523 of the family's 1533-position model. The record is from RNAcentral.
AUUGAACGCUGGCGGCAGGCUUAACACAUGCAAGUCGAGCGGGGUGAUGGUGCUUGCACUAUCACUUAGCGGCGGACGGGUGAGUAAUGCUUAGGAAUCUGCCUAUUAGUGGGGGACAACAUCUCGAAAGGGAUGCUAAUACCGCAUACGUCCUACGGGAGAAAGCAGGGGAUCACUUGUGACCUUGCGCUAAUAGAUGAGCCUAAGUCGAAUUAUCUAGUUGGUGGGGUAAAGGCCUACCAAGGCGACGAUCUGUAGCGGGUCUGAGAGGGUGAUCCGCCACGCUGGGACUGGGACACGGCCCAGACUCCUACGGGAGGCAGCAGUGGGGAAUAUUGGACAAUGGGGGGAACCCUGAUCCAGCCAUGCCGCGUGUGUGAAGAAGGCCUUAUGGUUGUAAAGCACUUUAAGCGAGGAGGAGGCUCUUUUGGUUAAUACCCAAGAUGAGUGGACGUUACUCGCAGAAUAAGCACCGGCUAACUCUGUGCCAGCCGCCGCCGUAA